Drosophila santomea is the source of this 1346-nucleotide long non-coding RNA. RefSeq lists it as uncharacterized. The transcript is spliced from 2 exons. The record is from RefSeq and is a predicted model, not a curated record. Lineage: Eukaryota; Metazoa; Arthropoda; Insecta; Diptera; Drosophilidae.
AAGAUGUUUGUGUAAAUUUCCACUCGAAUUUUCGUCGAAUUUAAUCGCUUUAUUUACACACAAUACACAAUUCACAUCUGGCUUAAAAAAUUGGCCAUUUAAAACAAAAGGUAGUUCCUUUUUUUUGAGCUUUCUUUUACGGACAUUUUUCGUCUCUUAUGGACAGUUUUGGGUUCUUUCACAAAUUGUUAGGGUAUGAUCAAAUAUGAGUGUUUGAUUUAAGCUAAUAAUAACCGAACAGCAUUUGCGUGGGAAAUUGUGAAAUUAGAAUCGAAACAUAAAUAAUUUCCUAUGGUGGAAUCAGCUUAUUAUUAUUAUUGUGGAGUUUGAUUAUUUUGUUCAAAGGAAAAUGAUCAAAAAGUCUAUUUAGUAAUAAAUAAAGCUAACACAAAUAUUUCAGUACCUUUUUACCUAGCUUACCUAAUUCUCUAGGUAUACAAAAAUUUGUACCUAGGUAAGGUAAAAGGUAGCAUAAUAUUUGUAUACCUAGGUAAGGUAAAAGAUACCACAAAAUGGUACCUAGGUAUGUACCUAGGUACAAGUAUCGAAUGAAUUGAAUGUUGAUGCUAUGACUUUGAAAAAAAAAUGGAAACAAUUGAGGGACACGUUUCGAGCUGAAUUAAGGAAAUGUCCACCGAACCGUUCUGGCGACGCUGGCCCUGAUGCAGUCAACGAGAUGUGUUCUCAAUGGAGUCAUUUCGAGUCCAUGAUGCUUAUAAAGGACCAGAUAAAGUGUCGCCAGUCUUCCGGAAAUUUAUGUUGCUAAAAAAACAAUGAAGUACAAGAUAAUAUUGGCGAAGAUGUUAAUAGUGUAGAUAUUGAGGUGCCGCAAUAUGAGGAAGAAAGCGACAUAAGUACGUUUGAAGUGCAAACGUCCACCCCACAUCAUCCUCCUAGAAAUCUUAAACGGCGUCAUAAUAACAUAGAAGGUGAAAUGCUCAACAUCGAAAAAAAGAAGUUGGAGCUGUUAGAACAGAAAACAAAAAACAAGAUUCCAGCCGACGAUGAAGACAUGGCUUUUUUUGAGAGCCUAUUGCCACACGUUAAAAAAAUGGAUCCGCAAACGAAGCUUUUGUGCAGAAUGGAAAUGCAAAAAGCAGUCUAUAAUCAUGCGUACAACAUGGGGCGCUCUUUUAAUUUACAAAAUAUUCAGAUAUCUGUACCAUCACCGACUCUACAGGAAUCUUCAUCAAAUCAAUAUUCUGAUAAUGCUUUAUCCCCACAGGAACCAAGCACUUUUGUUAAAUCAGGAAAUAUUAUUACAUUCUCAAAUUAAGUUAAGACAGUGAAUAAACAAGUAAUUAAAUGAAAAGUUAAAAUCAAUAAAAUUAAUAAAACUAAAUAUA